UACGAAGGGUGCAAGCGUUACUCGGAAUUACUGGGCGUAAAGCGUGCGUAGGCGGUUCGUUAAGUCUGUCGUGAAAGCCCUGGGCUCAACCUGGGAAUUGCGAUGGAUACUGGCGUGCUGGAGUGUGGCAGAGGGAGGUGGAAUUCCACGUGUAGCAGUGAAAUGCGUAGAGAUGUGGAGGAACACCGAUGGCGAAGGCAGCCUCCUGGGCCAGCACUGACGCUCAUGCACGAAAGCGUGGGGAGCAAACAGG
This 253-nucleotide ribosomal RNA is filed under the name uncultured bacterium. RNAcentral's name for it is "partial 16S ribosomal RNA". It matches the Rfam family "Bacterial small subunit ribosomal RNA", at positions 524 to 776 of the family's 1533-position model. The record is from RNAcentral.